GGAGAGAUAGCUCAGUGGUUGAGAGCACUGCUGCUCUUCCAGAGGACUGGGUUUGAUUCCCAGUAUUCACA
This 71-nucleotide transfer RNA is filed under the name Mesocricetus auratus (golden hamster). It matches the Rfam family "tRNA". From Rfam's summary of the family: Transfer RNA (tRNA) molecules are approximately 80 nucleotides in length. Their secondary structure includes four short double-helical elements and three loops (D, anti-codon, and T loops). The record is from Rfam by way of RNAcentral. Lineage: Eukaryota; Metazoa; Chordata; Mammalia; Rodentia; Cricetidae.